This 58-nucleotide microRNA precursor is filed under the name Mus musculus (house mouse). RNAcentral describes it as "Mmu-Mir-506-P16_pre stem-loop". Lineage: Eukaryota; Metazoa; Chordata; Mammalia; Rodentia; Muridae. The record is from RNAcentral.
UACUCAGAUUGAUAUGAGUCACUUCCUAUUGCAUGUUACUCCAUCCUCUCUGAGUAGA